Long non-coding RNA from Oncorhynchus tshawytscha (Chinook salmon), 365 nucleotides. NCBI's taxonomy places the organism in Eukaryota, Metazoa, Chordata, Actinopteri, Salmoniformes, Salmonidae. The record is from Ensembl.
AGCCCCCGCCGGCGAAGACACAGCCGUUCCCGAAGCAGGAACCGCAGUCGUGGCCGUGACUACAGCCGCUCACGGUCUCGUUCCUACUCUAGAUCCUGUUCCAAGUCCCGCACACCCCGCAAGAGCAAGUCCCCAUCCCGAUCAAGGUCCCGCAGCCGCACCCCGGCUUCUAACAGAGGCUCACGGUCGAGGUCCAAGAGCAUGCCCAAAUCCCCCGAUGACAACGGAACCGAGUCUUAGUAACAACAGUUCCAAGCCAGACCCACUGCGGUGUCCUGUUGUCAAACCGAGAGGGUGUGGCAGAUGGCAGUGUAAGAGCAGUUAGUGUGUUGUGAUGCGACCUGCCUGAGGCUGUUGGUGGGGGG